GACGAACGCUGGCGGCGUGCUUAACACAUGCAAGUCGAGCGAUGAAGCACCUUCGGGUGUGAAUUAGCGGCGAACGGGUGCGGAACACGUGAAGCAUCUGCCUUCAACUCUGGGAUAACUCCGGGAAUCCGGGGCAAAUACCGGAUAUGAGCCUUGAUCGCAUGAUCGGGGCUGGAAAGUUUUUCGGUUGAAGAUGACUUCGCGGCCGAUCAGCUUGUUGGUGAGGGAAUGGCUCACCAAGGCGACGACGGGUAGCCGGCCUGGGAGGGCGACCGGCAACACUGGGACUGAGACACGGCCCAGACUCAGACGGGAGGCAGCAGUGGGGAAUAUGGGGCAAUGGAGGAAACUCUGACCCAGCGACGCCGCGUGAGGGAGGAAGGCCUUCGGGUUGUAAACCUCUUUCAGUAGGGAAGAAGCGAAAGUGACGGUACCUACAGAAGAAGCACAGGCUAACUAUGUGCCAGCAGCCGCGGUAA
This 479-nucleotide ribosomal RNA is filed under the name uncultured bacterium. RNAcentral describes it as "partial 16S ribosomal RNA". It matches the Rfam family "Bacterial small subunit ribosomal RNA", at positions 28 to 523 of the family's 1533-position model. The record is from RNAcentral.